AUGAGGACUCAAUUGCUUUACUCCCACAUGACAUUUGGGUGUGACAAGAAAGGACCAUGCUCUGACCUGUGGGAUGGGCUCUCCCUGGAGAUGGGGCCUCCAGAUCCAGCCUUUCACUGCACCACUCUUCUCUGUGCACGCCUUCAGGGACACAGGGCACAACAAAGGAAAUUAAGGCCUUAACAGAGCUAAGAAAUGCAGUAUUGAGGACACUGGAGAGUGGAAUCUUCCAGAAAGCAGCCAAGUGCUGGUAAGUGCUUGAUCAGGUCC
RNAcentral lists this long non-coding RNA (270 nucleotides) under Cyanistes caeruleus (blue tit). Its description in RNAcentral is "lncRNA (ENSCCEG00000004560.1)". The record is from RNAcentral. Lineage: Eukaryota; Metazoa; Chordata; Aves; Passeriformes; Paridae.